This 253-nucleotide ribosomal RNA is filed under the name uncultured bacterium. RNAcentral's name for it is "partial 16S ribosomal RNA". It matches the Rfam family "Bacterial small subunit ribosomal RNA", at positions 524 to 776 of the family's 1533-position model. The record is from RNAcentral.
UACAGAGGUGGCAAGCGUUAUUCGGAAUUAUUGGGCGUAAAGGGCGCGUAGGCGGCCAAGUAAGUCCCGGGUGAAAUCCCUCGGCUCAACCGAGGAACUGCCUUGGAAACUGCAUGGCUUGAGGCCGGGAGAGGGUAGCGGAAUUCCCAGUGUAGCGGUGAAAUGCGUAGAUACUGGGAGGAACACCGGUGGCGAAGGCGGCUACCUGGACCGGUUCUGACGCUGAGGCGCGAAAGCGUGGGGAGCAAACAGG